AACGAACGCUGGCGGCAGGCCUAACACAUGCAAGUCGAGCGAGACCUUCGGGUCUAGCGGCGGACGGGUGAGUAACGCGUGGGAAUAUGCCCUUCUCUACGGAAUAGCCUCGGGAAACUGGGAGUAAUACCGUAUACGCCCUUCGGGGGAAAGAUUUAUCGGAGAAGGAUUAGCCCGCGUUGGAUUAGGUAGUUGGUGGGGUAAUGGCCUACCAAGCCGACGAUCCAUAGCUGGUUUGAGAGGAUGAUCAGCCACACUGGGACUGAGACACGGCCCAGACUCCUACGGGGGGCAGCAGUGGGGAAUCUUAGACAAUGGGCGCAAGCCUGAUCUAGCCAUGCCGCGUGAUUGAUGAAGGCCUUAGGGUUGUAAAGAUCUUUCAGCUGGGAAGAUAAUGACGGUACCAGCAGAAGAAGCCCCGGCUAACUCCGUGCCAGCCGCCGCCGUAA
This 449-nucleotide ribosomal RNA is filed under the name uncultured bacterium. RNAcentral's name for it is "partial 16S ribosomal RNA". It matches the Rfam family "Bacterial small subunit ribosomal RNA", at positions 29 to 523 of the family's 1533-position model. The record is from RNAcentral.